RNAcentral lists this long non-coding RNA (874 nucleotides) under Amborella trichopoda. RNAcentral describes it as "long non-coding RNA (ATRI_LNC004115)". The record is from RNAcentral. Lineage: Eukaryota; Viridiplantae; Streptophyta; Magnoliopsida; Amborellales; Amborellaceae.
GGCUCUCUCUCUUCCUCUCCCACUCACUCUCGUCCAAAAUGAGCAUGAAGGUUAACUUCCCCUUCUCUCUCUAAUCCAAAACAAGCAUGAAGAUUUACCUCCAUAUUAUUGCAUGUGUAAAGCCAAAUCACACAGGUGGGUUUUAGGCUUCUUUUAUUUAUAUUUUUGUUUUAACUUUUCUUCUUUAUUUUUAAGGGAUUGUAUAUAAUGAGAUCAUUUACUUUAGAUAUAAGAUGGUCACAAUUACUCACAUCCAUCUGCUGUGAAAUUUGAAAGCUUGGAUGUGUCACAGGGUUUCUUUUGAAGUUUGAACUUGGUUUAUGGAAUAAUUGCGGCCACCCAAUUUCACAUCCAAUGGUCAAGAUUAAUGUGACCACCCUAUACCGAAGGUAAAUGGUUUCAUUCUAUACUUUCCUUUUAAACCAUUGAAUUGUUUCGAUCCAAAGGUUGGGGUGCAUUGAGAGUCCCAUGUUUAAAGGGUUUUUUCCUCUUUGCUUGAAAAAAAGUAAGAACAAGAGAAGAAAAUGAGAGAGCUCAUGUAGGGUGAUGUGCCAUGUUUUUACCUUGAUUUCUAGUGAGAGAAAGUGCUGGAAGAGGAGUUUUGUUGGGUUCUUGAAGCUAAGCUGCUGGCUCUAUUUUAGACAGAGAAAGUACACACUUGUAAUGUGUUUGGAUCAUGUUUUUAGAAAGGUAAAGCUGCUGUAAAUUGGAGUUUUGAACCUCAUUCUCUUUUGUAAUCUCCAUCAAAUUAGUAAGUAAAAUCCCACACCAUUCUUUCGUGGAUGUAAGAGUUUUGAACCUCAUUCUCUUUUGUAAUCUCCAUCAAAAUAAUAAAAAAAACCUCAUACCAUUCUCUCGUGGAUGUAGAUCAUGA